This 575-nucleotide long non-coding RNA is filed under the name Nicotiana benthamiana. RNAcentral's name for it is "long non-coding RNA (NBEN_LNC040349)". The record is from RNAcentral. Lineage: Eukaryota; Viridiplantae; Streptophyta; Magnoliopsida; Solanales; Solanaceae.
UUGCUUUUACUUCUUUUUUAUUUUCCUUUGAUAGUCUGUUAAAGAAAAACAGCCAAAGAGUGGUGGUAAGACAAAGAAGAGGCCAAGAUCUUUGAUUUAUAAAGACAGCGAUGGGAGCAUGACAAGAUCUACACCUUCUUCAAGGCUAACUAUUGAAGAAGAGCUGCACUUAACAGCACCCCAACCCAGUCAAUUGAGUUAAACAAGUCAAUCCAGUAGCAAUAUAUGACCCCAAUACAGGUGUAUGCCAACAUCAUCUGUGCCAAGGAAGCAAUCCUUCAACAGUGCAUCCACAUUUUUAGAUUUUGAUUAUGCAGAAUUUGACAAUCUAGACCCCCUUCUAAUUCCAAGGAGUGUGUCAGAAGCAACAACUAGACUCCAAAUGAGGGAGCAAGUUGGGCACCAACUGGAACAAGGACUAUCAACUUUGUUGGUUAUGCCAAUGGUGUGAGUGAGCCAACAUUACUUCCAUACUCACCAAAGAACUUCACAUGGAAAGAGAAAGCUUCUAUAAUAGGAACCAACUGGAGAGACAAAGAAUGACCAAAUUGAUGGCAUGAAAUAUAAAUGGUAAU